Molecule: ribosomal RNA, 440 nt
Filed under: uncultured bacterium
Lineage: Bacteria
Description: partial 16S ribosomal RNA
Rfam family: Bacterial small subunit ribosomal RNA
Source: RNAcentral
CCUACGGGUGGCAGCAGUGGGGAAUAUUGCACAAUGGGGGGAACCCUGAUGCAGCGACGCCGCGUGAGUGAAGAAGUAUUUCGGUAUGUAAAGCUCUAUCAGCAGGGAAGAAGAUGACGGUACCUGACUAAGAAGCCCCGGCUAACUACGUGCCAGCAGCCGCGGUAAUACGUAGGGGGCAAGCGUUAUCCGGAUUUACUGGGUGUAAAGGGGGCGUAGACGGCAGGGCAAGUCUGGAGGGAAAGCCCGGGGCCCAACCCCGGGACUGCUUUGGAAACUGCCAUGCUGGAGUGCAGGAGAGGUAAGUGGAAUUCCUAGUGUAGCGGUGAAAUGCGUAGAUAUUAGGAGGAACACCAGUGGCGAAGGCGGCUUACUGGACUGUAACUGACGUUGAGGCUCGAAAGCGUGGGGAGCAAACAGGAUUAGAUACCCUAGUAGUC